CGACCGCCUGCUGCUGCUG
Molecule: unclassified non-coding RNA, 19 nt
Filed under: Mus musculus (house mouse)
Lineage: Eukaryota; Metazoa; Chordata; Mammalia; Rodentia; Muridae
Description: oocyte_clustered_small_RNA10802
Source: RNAcentral